Molecule: long non-coding RNA, 254 nt
Organism: Amblyraja radiata (thorny skate)
Lineage: Eukaryota; Metazoa; Chordata; Chondrichthyes; Rajiformes; Rajidae
Exons: 3
Source: RefSeq, a predicted model, not a curated record
GGAGAGAGGGCGGUGUACGUGCCCCUCUGACCUUUGCUCUCCGUGACCUUUCACCUUUGCCCCGCAGUGUAUGUCAAGGAACACUGGAAGGAAGACUGGCUCUUCGGCUACCAGUUCCUCAAUGACCAGAAUCCCCUCCUCAUCCGGAAGUGCGGAAUGAUCCCGGACAAUUUCCCGGUGACGGAAGCCAUGGUCCGGAACACCCUGGGGAACGGCACGCUUCGGCAGGAGCUUGAGAUGGGGAGGCUGGACAU